GCGGUCUUAGUAUAGUGGUCUAGUACGGCUCGUUGUGGAGAACUCGAGUUCGGAUGAGGGUCUUCCGCUAUCUUGAGCCGAGCAGACGGAUGUUCGAUUCCUCCAGACCGCA
RNAcentral lists this transfer RNA (112 nucleotides) under Sporisorium scitamineum. RNAcentral describes it as "transfer RNA-His(GTG)". It matches the Rfam family "tRNA". From Rfam's summary of the family: Transfer RNA (tRNA) molecules are approximately 80 nucleotides in length. Their secondary structure includes four short double-helical elements and three loops (D, anti-codon, and T loops). Further hydrogen bonds mediate the characteristic L-shaped molecular structure. tRNAs have two regions of fundamental functional importance: the anti-codon, which is responsible for specific mRNA codon recognition, and the 3' end, to which the tRNAs corresponding amino acid is attached (by aminoacyl-tRNA synthetases). tRNAs cope with the degeneracy of the genetic code in two manners: having more than one tRNA (with a specific anti-codon) for a particular amino acid; and 'wobble' base-pairing, i.e. permitting non-standard base-pairing at the 3rd anti-codon position. Lineage: Eukaryota; Fungi; Basidiomycota; Ustilaginomycetes; Ustilaginales; Ustilaginaceae. The record is from RNAcentral.